This 497-nucleotide ribosomal RNA is filed under the name uncultured bacterium. RNAcentral describes it as "partial 16S ribosomal RNA". It matches the Rfam family "Bacterial small subunit ribosomal RNA", at positions 28 to 507 of the family's 1533-position model. The record is from RNAcentral.
GAUGAACGCUGGCGGCGUGCCUAAUACAUGCAAGUCGAGCGAACAGACGAGGAGCUUGCUCCUCUGACGUUAGCGGCGGACGGGUGAGUAACACGUGGAUAACCUACCUCUAAGACUGGGAUAACAUCGGGAAACCGGAGCUAAUACCGGAUCAUAUAUUGAACCGCUUGGUUCAAUAGUGCAAGACGGCUUUGCUGUUACUUAUAGAUGGUUCCGCGCCGCAUUAGCUAGUUGGUAAGGUAACGGCUUACCAAGGCGACGAUGCGUAGCCGACCUGAGAGGGUGAUCAGCCACACUGGAACUGAGACACGGUCCAGACUCCUACGGGAGGCAGCAGUAGGGAAUAUUCCGCAAUGGGCGAAAGCCUGACGGAGCAACGCCGCGUGAGUGAUGAAGGUCUUCGGAUCGUAAAGCUCUGUUAUUAGGGAAGAACAAAUGUGUAAGUAACUAUGCACGUCUUGACGGUACCUAAUCAGAAAGCCACGGCUAACUACGUG